CACGGGGGGAGCAAGCGUUGUUCGGAAUCACUGGGCGUAAAGGGCGUCUAGGCGGUCAGAUAAGUGGGAUGUGAAAUGCCCCGGCUCACCCGGGGACCGGCAUCCCAAACUGUCUGGCUUGAGUAUGGGAGAGGAUGUGGGAAUUCCUGGUGUAGCGGUGAAAUGCGUAGAUAUCUGGAGGAACACCGGUGGCGAAGGCGGCAUCCUGGACCAACACUGACGCUGAUGAGCGAAAGCCAGGGGAGCAAACAGG
RNAcentral lists this ribosomal RNA (253 nucleotides) under uncultured bacterium. RNAcentral's name for it is "partial 16S ribosomal RNA". It matches the Rfam family "Bacterial small subunit ribosomal RNA", at positions 524 to 776 of the family's 1533-position model. The record is from RNAcentral.